UCAUGGCUCAGAUUGAACGCUGGCGGCAGGCCUAACACAUGCAAGUCGAACGGUAACAUUUCUAGCUUGCUAGAAGAUGACGAGUGGCGGACGGGUGAGUAAUGCUUGGGAACUUGCCUUUGCGAGGGGGAUAACAGUUGGAAACGACUGCUAAUACCGCAUAAUGUCUUCGGACCAAACGGGGCUUUUAGCUCCGGCGCAAAGAGAGGCCCAAGUGAGAUUAGCUAGUUGGUAAGGUAACGGCUUACCAAGGCGACGAUCUCUAGCUGUUCUGAGAGGAAGAUCAGCCACACUGGGACUGAGACACGGCCCAGACUCCUACGGGAGGCAGCAGUGGGGAAUAUUGCACAAUGGGGGAAACCCUGAUGCAGCCAUGCCGCGUGUGUGAAGAAGGCCUUCGGGUUGUAAAGCACUUUCAGUUGUGAGGAAAAGUUAGUAGUUAAUACCUGCUAGCCGUGACGUUAACAACAGAAGAAGCACCGGCUAACUCCGUGCCAGCAGCCGCGGUAAUACGGAGGGUGCGAGCGUUAAUCGGAAUUACUGGGCGUAAAGCGCACGCAGGCGGUUUGUUAAGCUAGAUGUGAAAGCCCCGGGCUCAACCUGGGAUGGUCAUUUAGAACUGGCAGACUAGAGUCUUGGAGAGGGGAGUGGAAUUCCAGGUGUAGCGGUGAAAUGCGUAGAUAUCUGGAGGAACAUCAGUGGCGAA
RNAcentral lists this ribosomal RNA (706 nucleotides) under uncultured marine microorganism. RNAcentral describes it as "bacterial SSU rRNA". It matches the Rfam family "Bacterial small subunit ribosomal RNA", at positions 17 to 719 of the family's 1533-position model. The record is from RNAcentral.